UGAGGACGGCGGGAGGGCGCAGCAGCCAUUUUGCUCUGAUAAUCCCCGAGCGUUCAAAGCUUGAAGCUGACCACUGCAAAGGCCACUUGUCACAUUUACUGAAAAUCAGCCUAUUGAUAUCACAGCUGAAAAUAUAAACUCGACAACCAAAGCCCAUUGCACAACGUGGACUGCGUAAGAGUUAAAAAUAGAUUCGACGUGCCUCCUACCUGCAUAAUAAAUAUUCCGUCAAAAUCCUGAGCAGUAUUGACAAACCACACGAGCACAGGGUCUGACUGCAUGAUCAGCUGUCUGUGUCUACGCUACACCCUGUUAACCACAAGCAGUGUUAGAGCUAAAUAUAUCUGCAAUGCAGAAACGGGGCGAAUGAGAACCAUGCGGCAGUUUACUAUAACCUGAAUUACCUUCCCAGAAGGCUAAACCAUCAGGUGAGGUAAAACAAACCGUAAGAUCUACCUGUUCAGAGAGCAGAACCCCCCACACACUAUUUCAGUGACUUCUCACAGCUUCCUAUCUCUCUACCCGCAAAUACCGCAAGCUGAUACCCAACACAUGAACAGCAUUGUGAAGAUGAACAUGUUAGCUCGGAAAAUAUUUCACUGAAAGAUUUCUUUAGGUAAAUAUUGUUUACCCUAUGUAUAAGUGAAUAUAAAUGGUUUCUGGCCAACUGCUGAAAUAAAUAGAUCCUUGUGAGGCC
Pygoscelis adeliae (Adelie penguin) is the source of this 697-nucleotide long non-coding RNA. RefSeq lists it as uncharacterized. The transcript is spliced from 4 exons. NCBI's taxonomy places the organism in Eukaryota, Metazoa, Chordata, Aves, Sphenisciformes, Spheniscidae. The record is from RefSeq and is a predicted model, not a curated record.